UACGGGGGGUGCGAGCGUUGUCCGGAAUCACUGGGCGUAAAGGGCGCGUAGGUGGCUUUGUAAGUUUGCGGUGAAAGCCCGGGGCUCAACCCCGGGUCUGCCGUGGAUACUGCAAGGCUUGAGUACUGUAGAGGCAGGUAGAAUAUCGGGUGUAGCGGUGGAAUGCGUAGAGAUCCGAUAGAAGACCGGUGGCGAAGGCGGUCUGCUGGGCAGUAGCUGACACUGAGGCGCGACAGCGUGGGGAGAAAACAGG
RNAcentral lists this ribosomal RNA (253 nucleotides) under uncultured bacterium. Its description in RNAcentral is "partial 16S ribosomal RNA". It matches the Rfam family "Bacterial small subunit ribosomal RNA", at positions 524 to 776 of the family's 1533-position model. The record is from RNAcentral.